Molecule: ribosomal RNA, 920 nt
Filed under: Inocybe angustifolia
Lineage: Eukaryota; Fungi; Basidiomycota; Agaricomycetes; Agaricales; Inocybaceae
Description: eukaryotic LSU rRNA
Rfam family: Eukaryotic large subunit ribosomal RNA
Source: RNAcentral
UUAAGCAUAUCAAUAAGCGGAGGAAAAGAAACUAACAAGGAUUCCCCUAGUAACUGCGAGUGAAGCGGGAAAAGCUCAAAUUUGAAAUCUGGCAGUUCUUUGCUGUCCGAGUUGUAAUCUAGAGAAGUGUUACCUGUGCUGGACCGUGUACAAGUCUUCUGGAAUGGAGCAUCAUAGAGGGUGAGAAUCCCGUCUUUGACAUGGACUACCAGUACAUUAUGGUGUGCUCUCAAAGAGUCGAGUUGUUUGGGAAUGCAGCUCAAAAUGGGUGGUAAAUGCCAUCUAAAGCUAAAUAUUGGCGAGAGACCGAUAGCGAACAAGUACCGUGAGGGAAAGAUGAAAAGAACUUUGGAAAGAGAGUUAAACAGUACGUGAAAUUGCUGAAAGGGAAACGCUUGAAGUCAGUCGCAUUGGCUAGAAAUCAACCUUGCUUUUGCCUGGUGUACUUUCUGGUUGAUGGGUCAGCAUCAAUUUUGACUGCUGGAUAAAGUCACUGGGAAUGUAGCAUCUUUGGAUGUGUUAUAGCCCUAUGUUGCAUACAGUAGUUGGGAUUGAGGAACUCAGCAUGCCGCAAGGCCAGGUUUUUUAAACCAUGUUCGUGCUUAGGAUGCUGGCAUAAUGGCUUUAAUCGACCCGUCUUGAAACACGGACCAAGGAGUCUAACAUGCCUGCGAGUGUUUGGGUGGAAAACCCAUGCGCGUAAUGAAAGUGAAAGUUGAGAUCCCUUUCAAGGGAGCAUUGACGCCCAGACCAGACCUUUUGUGACGGAUCUGCGGUAGAGCAUGUAUGUUGGGACCCGAAAGAUGGUGAACUAUGCCUGAAUAGGGUGAAGCCAGAGGAAACUCUGGUGGAGGCUCGUAGCGAUUCUGACGUGCAAAUCGAUCGUCAAAUUUGGGUAUAGGGGCGAAAGACUAAUCGAA